Molecule: ribosomal RNA, 540 nt
Filed under: uncultured bacterium
Lineage: Bacteria
Description: partial 16S ribosomal RNA
Rfam family: Bacterial small subunit ribosomal RNA
Source: RNAcentral
UGGGGAAUUUUGGACAAUGGGCGAAAGCCUGAUCCAGCAAUGCCGCGUGUGUGAAGAAGGCCUUCGGGUUGUAAAGCACUUUUGUCCGGAAAGAAAUCCUUGGCUCUAAUACAGUCGGGGGAUGACGGUACCGGAAGAAUAAGCACCGGCUAACUACGUGCCAGCAGCCGCGGUAAUACGUAGGGUGCAAGCGUUAAUCGGAAUUACUGGGCGUAAAGCGUGCGCAGGCGGUUUGCUAAGACCGAUGUGAAAUCCCCGGGCUCAACCUGGGAACUGCAUUGGUGACUGGCAGGCUAGAGUAUGGCAGAGGGGGGUAGAAUUCCACGUGUAGCAGUGAAAAUGCGUAGAGAUGUGGAGGAAUACCGAUGGCGAAGGCAGCCCCCUGGGCCAAAUACUGACGCUCAUGCACGAAAAGCGUGGGGAGCAAAACAGGAUUAGAUACCCCUGGUAGUCCACGCCCUAAAACGAUGUCAACUAGUUGUUGGGGAUUCAUUUCCUUAGUAACGUAGCUAACGCGUGAAGUUGACCGCCUGGGGGAGU